UUUAUUUAUUGUAACAUCAAACAGAGUUAUUACAGCACUUUUGAUUUGUGAUUUCUGUGCAUUUGCUGCAGAUCUUUUGUGGUGGAGCAGGUGACGGCAGUGUUUGUGGGAAGAAAGAAAGACCUGAAACAAAAAUAUAAAGUAAGAUCAUUUUGUUACUUUAAUACAGAAAUAAAAAAAAUAAAUCAAAUGAUUGUAAAAACAAAAAAAAGUUAAAAUGAAUGCUUUUGUAUUAUAUUUGUGCUUCUUGUAUGAUCUGAAAUGUCUGCAGACUGGUGUGAGCAGUGAGAAAGGAGAAAUCCACAGCAGUGUCCUGGAAAUGUGGUUUAGCCCACUACAAAAGUAAUAGAGGUACAACAAAAAUUAGCAUGUGGUCGAGCAGACACAGUGAUGGCCAGAUUGUCCCGCACAUGUUCUCCUGCUCUUGUCUCAAGGUUGUGGGGUUCAGUGGUGUGUCUUCAUGGUCUUUCUCAUCGUCUGGCUCAACAACAUCCCUAUUGAGAAGAGUGAGAUUGUGAAGCGCAGCAGCAGAAUUGGCACAGCUGCAUUGAGAUGGCAAUAGGAUGUGGGGUUCACCAACUGUAAAUACAUGAUUGUUAGAUCAAUAAGUUUGAAUAAAGCUGUUUCAUCUGUUGUUGACUUGUAUAUUUAUGUAUUUAUUAUGAUGCUUUUAUUCCUUCUUUUACUCAUUUAUUCAUGUUUUCUAUUGUUGUCAAUAAAUAAAAUAUACAUA
Labeo rohita (rohu) is the source of this 733-nucleotide long non-coding RNA. RefSeq lists it as uncharacterized. Lineage: Eukaryota; Metazoa; Chordata; Actinopteri; Cypriniformes; Cyprinidae. The transcript has 2 exons. The record is from RefSeq and is a predicted model, not a curated record.